This 283-nucleotide unclassified non-coding RNA is filed under the name uncultured fungus. RNAcentral's name for it is "partial contains small subunit ribosomal RNA, internal transcribed spacer 1, and 5.8S ribosomal RNA". The stretch from base 1 to 73 matches the Rfam family "Eukaryotic small subunit ribosomal RNA", at positions 1759 to 1831 of the family's 1831-position model. The record is from RNAcentral. Lineage: Eukaryota; Fungi.
ACAAACUUGGUCAUUUAGAGGAAGUAAAAGUCGUAACAAGGUCUCCGUUGGUGAACCAGCGGAGGGAUCAUUACAGGACUCGCAAGACUCCCGUAACCCACGCGAACCUUACCUUUGCAUCGUUGCCUCGGCGGGCUGCGCUCCCCGGAGCGCCUCUGCCCCCCCGCCGGCGGCCUACAACUCUUCUUGCUUCUUAAGCGUUGGCAUCUCCGAGUAAAAACACAAACGAAUCAAAACUUUCAACAACGGAUCUCUUGGUUCUGGCAUCGAUGAAGAACGCAGC